Molecule: long non-coding RNA, 25407 nt
Organism: Gallus gallus (chicken)
Lineage: Eukaryota; Metazoa; Chordata; Aves; Galliformes; Phasianidae
Source: Ensembl
GAGCAUUCCUGUACCCAGGGACUGCCAAUCCACAGGGCUGCAGGGUUCACCAAGCUGCAAGAGUCAGCAUGGAGGAGCAUGAGGAGAGCCCCCCUUGGACAGUGCUUCUUUAUAGAGAGUAUAAAAGUCGUGUGAGCCCUCAAGGAUAACAUUUGUAACGUGCACCCAAACCUCACUGCAAGUUACAGGGUGCUAUGUUAUGAGCAUUCUUGUGUCCCUUUAAACCUCUCAGGCUUUGUGUCUGUAUUAACAAACAAUUCAUUCACAUUUUGCUAUUUAGAGGAAAAGCUCAGAAUAGACUUGGUUAUUUGAUACUAAUUAUUUAGCAGGUAUAAAAGCAUAUUCAAGUCCCUAAUCUCCUUUCUGAGCAGGCAGGCACGCUCAUGUUCAAAUAGUUGCAUAACUUGCCCAUCUCUAGUUGACAAACCCUCCUAACUUUGUUUUCAGAUCACAUGCAACCCCACCCCCGGCCAAGCUGUGUGCAUAGCUGGUCUGUAUUACAGCUUGCUGUUAACCUCAUCCUCCUUUCACUGCUCUUCCUGCAGUUGGUUGCUUGUGUCUUGUAAGGUGUAUAAAGGACCAUCUGUUCAGGAAAGGGCUGCCCAACAUCUGUGCAGCUCAGAGCACCUUGGGUGGAUAUUGGUAAAACAAAUGGAUGAAAAAAUUCACAAUGACAAUUUGUACUGACUUGAGAUGUAAGAGAUUUGCUGGAUCUUGCUUCGCCUCUCUCCAUAGAAUCAUAGAAUGGAUUGUGUUGGAAGGGACCUUAAAGGCCAUCAAGCUCCAAACUCCUGCUGUGGGCAGGGCUGCCACUCACUAGAUCAGGCGCUAGACCAGGCUGCCAAGGCUCCCAUCCAGACUGACCUUGAACAUCUCUAGAGAUGGGGCAUCUACAACCUCUCCUGGCAGCUCAUUGCCCUCUGAGUAAAGAAUUUUUUGCUAACAUCUAACCUAAAUCUCCCCACUUUUAGUUUAAAACCAUUCACUGUUUUCCUAUCGUUAUCAGAUCAUGUAAAAAGUUGUUCCCCCUUCCUGCUGAUAAGCUCCCCUCAGAUUCUGAAAGGCCACAAUGAGGUCUUCCCUCAGCCUUCUCCAAGCUGAACAAACCCAGUUCUCUCAACCUAUCUCUAUAGGAGAGGUACUCCAGCCCCACAGUCAUCUUUGUGGCCCUCUUCAGAACCUGCUCCAACAGCUCCACAUCCUUCUCGUGUUAUGGGUCCCAGACACACACAGGACUCCCGAUGGGGCCUCACAAGGGCAGAGUAGAGAGGAACACUUUCCCUCCAGUCUUUGUCCAGCUUUUCAUCCACCAGGACACCCAUAUAUCUAGAUAUGUAUCUAUGUACAUGUAGGUUUGUGUUUGCUUGUGUAUUUAUCUGAACAGUUGGUGUAUGGUAUCAGAAGCACACAGGUCCUGCGCAUGGUGAAACGAGGGCAGUGCUGGUGUAAAGAAAUGUGAAGUGUUUCUAACUGGCCAAUCUUUCUCAACUGUUCACAUCUUCUGUUUAAAGAAAACUGACCAAAUCAGUAGAAUCACAGAGGAUUCAAAUAAAAGUAAAGCCAGGGCUGAGCCUGAUACUGGGAAUUUUGCUGAAUUAGGCAUAAAUUAGAUGUUAUCUCUCAGCCAGUUAAGAUGAUACUGAAAGCAGAUACUUCAAACUGUUUGCAGUGUGUGAGAGUUUCUAAUCUCCUUUCAUAUAAUUUAGAAUCCAAUCCAGAGCCAGGGCUGUGGUUUCAAGGCACGGCUGGAACAGAUACCGGAUUUCUAUGGGUGCUGGGGAAGUCAAGGAAAUAAAGCAGUCUUCCAGCUCUGUGCAUUAUCGUUGCAAACAAUAGCCUGCUGGCACAAAACAAGUUUUAAUUGAUUGUUGCUAUUGAUUUUACAGGAAGCAAAGCAGAAGAAAUUCAACUUGAUUUUUGUAAGCUGAGGUGACCUGAAAAACACAAAGGAGAAAAAGAGAAUAGAAAGCCCUCCCACAUUUUGCCCAGUUCUGUGAGCUUACAGCUGAGCGCUCCAUAAAAACCCUGUCCAUUGAUUCCCUAUGUAUUUUGACCAUAUUGAUUUUCUCAUUAUAUAAUCUCCAUCUGAAAAUUUUAUUCAGAUUGUACGUUUUGCACUGUCACUGUGCAGAUCAGAGUCCCUUCUUGUUUCUUUCUCCUCUCCCUUUUGACCUCUCCAGUCUACAUGGGGUAAAAGCUGCACCUGGAAAUUUAUGUCCUACCUUUCUGCCGGUCUUCCCUUUCUGGAGCGUUUUCUGUUCAGGAAGAGCCCAGGAUAUGGGAUUUGCCUCUACUCCUGCUGCUCUACCAGAGCCAGGCAGGGAGCAGAGGAGAUAGUCAUAGGCUGCCAGAUGUACUGAGACAGAUAAUUAGCCCAGGUGGGUAGGCUUGUGCUUGCUGAGGGGCCUCUGGCUGGAGCUGCUCAGGAAGGGAGGAGAUGGUCAACUUUGUGGGAUGCUGCUUAGAUUUAUUCUUUCCCCAAGCUCCCCUUGGGCAUGGAUUAGGAGGCUGAGUGGGUGAAGUUGGAGGAUUGUAGUGGUGAUGCUUUUGUAGAGAAACAGCAAUCAUCUCCACCAAAUAGAUCGGCAGCAUCAGCAACCAGACAAUUCAGAAUGGAAGGCUUUCAGGUUUAAGAUGAUGUAAACCCACAGAAAUGCAAGAUGAUUUGAACUGCGCCACAUCCAUGACAGUUGGUCGGCAGAGAUAUUAGCCAAUGAUGGUAGAAGAUACUUACGUGAAAAUUUGCAGCUGAUACUGUACUCCAAAUACGAUGAGCAUCAGAAGAAUGCAAGAAAUCAGCAUCAGAUGAAUGCAAGAAAUCAGCAUCAGAAUGCAAGAAAACAGAAAGGAUAAGAAGAUCAUUUUGAGAAGUUUUCAAGGAGACAACUAGAAAAUGUUGAUUUCAAAGUUAUAGUGUAAUUCGAGUCAAUGUAUGAUGGAGCAAUGUGGAAAUUAUUCCAGCUUGACGAGAUGCAAGACCUUAUAAGUAACUCUACAAAAAUUAGAAUUAUUGGACGAGAAAAGCACCUCAAUGAUACAUUGCACUUCAGUGGCUUCAAGGGUCCCUGGAUGAAGCCAUUUAGCACUUGGUAUGUUUUGGAAACUUAGGUAUGGAGCAUUCCUGAAAGAGUCUGAACUCAGAUGCCAGACAGGUCCCUCAUGUUUCCAGCUUCUCUGAGUCUACAUAGUUUGGCAAUAAAUGGGGAACUGAGAGUGGCUCUGAUAACAGAACAAGUUCAGAAACUUAACGUUCUCUCAGACCUGAAACCAUGACAACUGACAUUGCUGACAUCCUUUUCACAAGUCCUAUUGCACUCUGUUAUCUUCAGCUUCUAACUCUGCUUUGAGAGAAACGUCUUUAUUUGAGGAGCUUAAAACAGCCUCAGGUCUUCAGGACUGUGGCCCUGUUUUCCAACGAGGAUGUGGGAGCUGUAAGGGCCAGUGAGAGACUUACUGCUAAUGGACACAUUACCUUUACAAUCCUGGAGUAUAUUGUUAUUCAGAUAACAGGAAAUACUCAUCAAUACUGCUUAAGGUCUGAAAAAGUAAAAAGGACAACCUAGCUGAUGUAACUACUCAAUUACAGUUAAGAUUUAGAUACAUUAACACAGGAAACAUUAAUUAAUGUGACUUCACUGACAGUGUCUUCAAGCUUUAACAAUGACUUCUAGCUGCUAAUGUUAUAGUUUUACAAGAUGUUAAUGCAAUUCUAAACAUUUUUUGAAGAAUAAGGCAGCUUGAGAGGAAGGGUGUAAAAUCUUUGAUUCUCUUCACCUUAAUAUUUAAAGAAUAAAACCAUUCUGGAAUAACAUCUUCAGAAGAGAACCCUCAAAUAUACAGACAAUCUUAUAAAACACAGAGUUUAUGGUAAAAAAUUAUGGAAAUAUAGAAAAUCAAGUCUGACAGGGAAAACAUGUUUGUGAACAGUUGGAACUGUUCUCCUGAGUGUCACUUUUAAUGAUAGUUCAUAGUCAUUGAGGCCAUUAAGAUUGGAAAAGACCUCCAAGAUCAAGCACAACCAUCCACCUACCACCAAUAUUUCCUCACUAAACCAUGUUCCUCAGUACAACAUCUAAACAUUUCUUGAACACCUCCAUGGACAGUGACUCCACCACCACCCUGGGCAGCCCAUUCCAGUGCCUGAUCACUCUUUCAGAGAAGAAAUUUUCCCUAAUAUCCAACGUGAAUCUCCCCUGGCGCAACUCCAGUUCUCUCCCCAAUCCCACUUGGAAGAGGAACAGUGAAUGAAUGACUGUGUGGUGCUUUGCCACUUGCUGGGUUAAACCACAACAGUAAGGCAAUCUUUUAAUUCAAUAUAUGCAACACUUAGUGCAGUAAGAUCUUGUUUAAUGGAUCUUUGGCAUUAUGUUACCAUCAUUUUUCUUACUGAAAUUUAACUUGAUCAAAUUCAUAGUGAAGUGGAAUGAAAUCUUCCCAGCUCACAAAACAUUACAGUAGUUAGAACAACUGCAGUUCUCAUCUGUUACAUUCUAGCCUUAUACCAGUGUAUUAAUGUAAAGGUAUAUUUCCCUAUAAGAUGAACCUCAAGAGGACCUAAAUUGCAUUUUUAUCAAAUAAUUUUGAAACAAUUGGAGGAUUGCUGGAAGAGUUCUUAAGUUACAGGAUGUUCUAUCCUCUCUUGCAGGCAGGUCAAGUCAUAGCACAUCCUGAAGCUGGUUCUGCUCUGACAGCAUGCCUGCAUGCCAUGCAAUGGCCUUGGUGGAGAAACAGUGCUGUGUCAGAAGGAGCUGUUGAUUCAUCAUGAUUAAAAAAUGAUCUUCAGAAUUCUUGGAAAAUGGAUGAAAUAUCCAUUAUAGAUUUUAUGAGUACUGUCUUUAACAUGAAAGCUUUUUAAAUUGACCAUGAUUCAUACUAAUAAAUGAAUAUACCUUAAAAAAAAAUAGAAUCUAGAAUACAGGACUGCAGAGAACAACUCAAAACCUACAGUGACUUUUUGAGUUACUCUGUGGUGAAGAAGUAAGUAGAGAAAGACAAGUUGAUGAAUUAGGCCAAAUACUUUGCACCUUUAACAUCUACUGAAAUGGAUGGGGGCUGAAGAUUCAUACAGCAUCUUGCACAUCAAGGCUUUGUUACCACUAUUAGGUCCUUUCCCAUUAUGAAAACUACCUACGAGACCAUCCUUGAUGUCUGAUGUGCCUUGAUGGGCAGAACUGGAAGAGGGACAGAACUGUGCUUCUGACUCCUGUUUACUCCAUACUGCAUGAUUGUUACGUUCAUGAACCUGGUUUGGCAAUCACUGUAAAGGAGGAAAUAGUAAUCAUGUAAUUUCUUCAUAUACUGGAAAAAAAUACAAGAAAUAAGGCUGAGCUGUUUUUAAACAACCAAAGAACUAUUUGGAAAAUAAUUACAAAGCAAUAAAUGGGCAUACGUGAGGCAUAUAUAUCAAGACAGUGAAAGACAGGAAGUAGGAAAUGACAUUUUUCCUGGCCUAAUGUAUGAUAAUAAUUACAAGAAAUUGCAAUUUAGAGAAAACACAUUUCUUUUUGCUCCUAUCUGUAUUUUGGUAAAUUACUGUUCUCUGUUGUGACAGAAAAUUAAUUGCUACUGUGGCUGUUGAUUGCUUCUUAAUGACAUUGUAAUACACAGCUUUUUGGUUCAAUGUUAUUCUCAAUUCAAAUAUCUUUGUAAAUAUCAUAUACGGACUAUCUUGUAAGUAUGAUAUGAUUCAAGUUAUGCUUGUAAAACCUCCACUUAAAAUGAAUCUCCAUGUGACAGGUAAUUGGCUGCGGGCCUUUUUUUUGUUAUUGAUUUAACUUAAUGCCAAUGUACACAGGUGUGUUGGCGGGUUGUUCAAGCUUCCAAGGCACCCACAUUUGGCAGGACAAUUAAUUGUUGCAUAAUAAGAUUAUUUUCCCCCUUCAGUCCUGAAUCUUUUCAAAAGUUGUAUUUUAAACCUUUGUAGGUAUGUAUGUGGGUGAGAGAAAAAUACCCAACAAUGUUACCAUGAGGCAUGUUUCGAUUUAUUGUUUGAGGUGCUCAAGGAAACAGCAACAUAUAGAUAAGAUAUCUGCAAAUAUAUAUUUGCCAACUGAAGUGGAAAAAAAGAACAAAAAGCUUUAUAUAAUCAGGCUUUUACAUGCUAUAUAAAAUUCUAUAUUGCUAUCAGACAAAAUUGCUUAUUUUAGACAGAAAUACUACACUGAAAAUAUUAGCUGUCCGGUCUGCUUUACAUGUAGAUAGGAGAUACAAUUUGCCCUUGGACACAGAAAUAUCUGCAUCACAGACGCCCAGCGAAGGACUCAUUUGAAUACUUUGAGCAAAAUCCUGGCUCUGUUGAAGUUGAUGGGAAUUUUGCCAUUAACUUUGGUUGGACUUCAGUUUGCUUCUCCAGUGUGUAGUAAGGUAUUCAUCCCUGAGGAGUACACAGGGUAAUCUGGAGAAAGUGAACAACGCCACAGGAGUAACAGCUGGCCCAAAUUCUAGGGAGAGCAGUGACCUUAGAGGAAAAGAAGAGGCAGCACUGCUGUGGGAAUGCAUUGUAUGGAGAGGUGGGAGGAGAUUUCAUGAAAGGAUGUACAAGAUUGUUCCAAGCAUAGCAGGUAGCAUGACUGAACGUGUAAAAUCAAGAGCUGAAGAAAACACUUCUACUUUCACAAGCCCUAAGAAAUGAAUGAAGAAUGAAAAGUGUUGUGUCCAAACUUUGGAAGAGCUGGUUCUGUGAAAAGCUGUGUGAUGGCUCUUCUUUUACCCAGGUGUUUAUCUUGGGCUUGGUUCAAAAGCAAGGAUUUGUUUUGCCUUCCAGAUUUAUCCACUAAAUUGUGUUUCAUGGGGUCAUGCAAUCAGCUGUCCUCUCAUAAGAAAAAGGCCACAGCUGAGGAAACCAGGCCAGUUCAGGACUGCAGAGCCUUUGCCUGAGUGACUCUGAGAAGCUGCAUUGCACCUGAGUGGAAAAUCACUCUCCCAGGCCGAGGGAUGAUUUUUUAUCCUGGUGCUUUUUUUUCUAAAAAAACUAUCCUGUCAAGCUGUGACUUAGGUUAAAAUCAUUGGCACCACAGACAAGAAGUUGUCUGCUUCCAUAUAGAAGAGCAGAUGAUACACAUUCUGUAAAAAUCCAUAUAAAAUAUUUAUCAAAAUCUCAUUGCCCUGGAUGCCUACCAGAGACAAUCUGAAAAUUAAAUAAUUACUGUUUAACUUUCUCUUUAGACACCCAAACACUUUAUUCUGCAGUAUAUGGCAAUGGAGUAAAACAUACCAAAAUAAAACUUUGUUGACAUAGAGCUUUGUUUUAAUUUAAAGGGCUCUCAGAAGUCCAGACUGCUCAGAAAUAAUCCCAUUUUUUCUUGGCUGACUUCAACAGCUGACAGACACUGAUACAGAAGAUGAGAUGCAUGUAUGUGUGAAAGAUGGUAAUGGUAAUGGUUUGCUCUCCACCAGCAGAAAUUAAAGCCCAGUCAGUAUUUUCAGAUUGCUUAUUAACCCUGUUAGAUUGGUUUGGGAGAAGAACCAUCCCACAUGGAAAAUGCUCCCAGCUGCUGUGAGCACAGUGCAGUAGAAGCAGGUACUGCCAUGUGUGCUACUGCAGACAGUGGUAAGCCCCCUCCCUUCCCCUAUGCUUAAAAACAAAACAAGACAAAACAAAACUCAGUUUCUUCGGUGUACACAAGAGAAUGUUUGGCAUUUGCUACUACUGAGCAGCAUUCUUGCCGUGUUUUGCUAUCUGUCAAAUGGCAUGCUCAUCCUCUGCCAAGAAAAAUACUUGUUUCCAAUACUAAUCACGCUCCCUGACUACCCUCUAGUGUAUAUUCUUCCUGGACUGCUAUCUGUCCAUGCAACAUUUGAAAGAUAUUAAAAUGAUUAUGAUGAAAUCUCUUGCUUACUGUGCUGGCAAGAGCUGGGAUAUGCUCCAGAGUCAAUGCCUGUAGUUCCCAGGGAGAAGGCAGUGCCUAAAGUUGCUUCUUACUGACUGCCUCCAUCCAUCCACAUGUAGGCAGGACAUUGUCGAGCUCUGUGUGGAGCCACAGACAGGCUCUGCUCUGGUGUAAUGUUGUUAAGGUAUGAGUUGCUGGAGAAAUGAUGAAUAAAGAGCAGUUGGUAGGUAGAUCCCAGAGCCACAAGUGAUUGUACUUAUAAAAGGAGAAGAUUGUUGUGAAAUGUGUAAUGAUACUUGAAAGGCAGUAGCUGGCAAGUCAGCAUGAAUGGUUUUCUAUUUUGCUCUUCAUUUGGUGAGAUGGAAUAAGGGUAUCCACACUGGCCCCAACUCCUCAGACUGGGGAUGAUACAACUACAAGGUGCAUCCCUACAUGGUCAGAUCAUUUUGGUAUCUCCUAAUGCUAACACCGAGACUUUCGGCCUUUGAAAUUCCUGGAAGUCUUAUGAGGAGUGACUGAGGGAACUGGGAUUGUUCAGUCUGGAGAAGGCUCAGGGGAGACCUUAUUGGUCUCUACAACUGCAUGAAAGGAGGUUGUAGUGAGGUGGGUGUCGGCCUCUUCUCCUAGGUAACAGCAGUUAGGAUGAGAGGUGAUGGCCUUAAGUUGUACCAAGGGAGGUUCAGAUUGAAUGUUAGGAAAAAAUUAUUCUCAGGAAGAGUAGUAACACAUAGGAACAGGCUGCCUAGGGAGGUGGUGGAGUCACUGUCCCUGGAAGAGUUCAGGCACUGAGGGGUAUGAUUUAGUGGGCAUGCUGGGGAUGAGUCGACAGUUGGAGCAGAUGAUCUUGGUCUCUUCCAACCUUAAUGAAUCUAUGAUUCUAGGAUAAUGAUUCUAUGAAGGAUUAGCCAGUUGUUCCUCCACCUAAGACAUAACUUUUUACUUCCCCCCCCCCCCCCAAAAAAAAAAAAAAAGUUUUUUGAUCGACAUAUUCAUAUGUCCAUUUGGCAAUUAAAUGUUCUGUUUUUAUCCUCCACAAUGUAAGAGCUGCAUCUCUUUCAGGAAUCUAAAUCUGAUUUGUGUCCCACCUUACCAACAGACUAAUUAUGACUUUAGCAACAAGUGCCCUGAGACACCUCUGCAAACUAUUGAUGCUCAGAGUUGAUCAAGGAGAAGCUAGAAGCAUCUCCACAUAUUCCUGUUGUGCGUUGCAAGCCACAGCUCAACCACCACCAUUAUGGCAAACUUCAUUUGUUUUUGCAGACAUCAGGGUGGAAUUUGUGUCAUUUCUCUUUCAGCAUCUACAGAAUAGAUAUCUACAGCUGUGCUAAUCACUCUGGGCUCUCCUUAUAGGCAAGGAAGAGAAAUAAGUGUUUUUAGGGUGCAGUUUUCCUGACCUACUGUAUACAUUUACUUAAGGAGGACGAAUCACACUCAAGAUUCCUAUGCAUAGCCUGUCUAUGUCCUCACUGACUGUACUGAUAAUCUGGGAUGAUUAGCUUAACUGCGUACCAUACGCAUGUUUAUUUACCUCUGCUUAAUUACAUAAGUGAUAUCCACUGCCCAUUACAGAGCAGGCUUUGAAUGUAGAUGAUGUAGGCAAUUUCUGCAAGUAUUAUAGCAGACUGAAGCAAGCAGUGGUGCAUCCUCUUUCCAUGAAAUGGAAGAACUGUCUUUGUUGAGAGGAGGAUACUCUAAUUCCUUCUGUUUCUCCAUGGAACAGGACCUGACUCUUCUGGAAGAAGCAAAUAGGAGACAUUGACGUUGGCAGCAGUGUGAACUGUAGGUGGAGGAGUUAAUUGAGAGGUAGUUUAGGGACAUGGCAGGUUGCACUGGCUCCCAAAUGAUUAGAGAUGGUGGGGGAUCUGGUUGGGGAUUUGCUUAAGGAUCCCACCCAACUCUGCUCCAGAGGCAUUAAACAUCCCUGUGCUACCUAAUUCCAUUCCUUCUUUGUCUCAUGGAGUGUCCUGAAACCUCCUCAUAGCCCUCACAUUCACCUCCCCUCUCUCUCUCUCCAAAACCCAAUUUCCUCUCCCCAUCCUCCAAAGUGCCCUCAACUGGUCUCUUCUAGCCUCCUUUCUUGAAAGCUCUUCUCCAUCUCCUUCAAACUGUGAGGGGUCUUCAGAUCAAAGAGCAUUAGAGGGUGUAUGGUGGCAUGCAGUUUCCUAUGUUAGCUUGUGUUUUCAUAGAAUGGCUUGGGUUGGAAGGGAUCUCAAGGAUUAUCAAGCUCCAACCCCCCUGCCACAGGCAGGGCUGCCAACCUCCACAUUUAAUACUAGACCAGGCUGUCCAAGGCCCCAUCCAACCUGGCCUUGAACACCUCCAGGGUCAGGGCAUAGACAGCCCCUCUGGGCAGCCUGUUCCAGCACCUCACCACUCUCACAGUAAGGAACUUUCCUCUUAUAUCCAACCUAAAUCUUCCCUCCUUCAACUUAAAAUCAGUUCCCCUUGUCCUGCCAUUAUCUACCCUUUCUAAGAGCUGUUUUCUCUCUCCUGUGCUUGUGUUUUAUAUUUUUCAAAGUACAUUUUUCAAAAUUUGAAUGAUGCUCACUUAAGGGAACACUUAAUAAUUUUGUUUACAGUUAGAAAUCUUAAUUAAUAAGAAAUAGCCAUAAGAAUGGCCCAGGAACUUCAAGAGAACACAUAAAAUUUCCUCUGGAGCCCAGAAUGAUGCCCAGAGAAAGGUCUCCAGUGAUGUAUUACAACACUUUUUAAACUUAAAUUGCAUAAUGAAUAUUCAUAAUACUUAUUAUAGCAUAAUUAGUGAAGUAACAAGGGUUUGAAGAUAGGAGUCUGGCAAGAUCUGUACAAGAGAAAAUGCCCCAUCCCUGGAGGUGUCCAAGGCCAGGCUGCAUGGGGCCCUGGGCAGCCUGGUCUGGUGCCUGAUUUAGUGGGUGGCAACACUGUCCAUGGCAGGGAGUUGAAACUAGAUGGUCUUUGAGGUCCCUUCCAACCCAAGCCAUUCUAUGAUUCUAUGAAGAGAAAGAAAUUUAAUUUGUUUGCCUGACUGAGGUAUGAGGGAAAGCAGACAAGCUUUAGGCAUGAGGCCUUUAGGUAAAUAGUGAUAGAGAGAUUACAACCUCCGAAUUAUGCUUAUGGAUCAUAUAAACUCCACAUGGCUGGAAUCAGAGGACACAUUUCAUAUCAAGGGAAAUUUUUAAUAGAAACAACAAGUUGGUUUUGGUUCACCUUUAUGGUUUUAAAACUGUGAGAUGAAAUAUUUUUCCUACAUCUGCAAAAUAUUUUGAAUUUUGAAAAUGUUUCUAUCUGAAGUGCAAUAAAAAGCAGGAGCUGCAAUAAGUUGAUGAGUCAAUAAUGAAUAAACACAGUGUUUUGAAUUGAAAAUUUUGGCACAUUUCAGUGCAGUUACUAUUACUGAUACAUUUUUCCUGUGGAUACACUGACAUUUAAAAACCAAUCUGUAAUGAAGGGAAAAGAAAAAAUAACAUACAUAGCAUGUGGAAACAAAAGGCUCAGAAUCAGAAUUAUUUUGCAGAAAAAUCAGGUUUGAAAAUGUAUCUUUUUCUGGACAAAAGAGUGAAAUAAAACAGUUCAUCAACAGUGCUCAUACUCACUUGCAGACCCAGCAUAUGUGUGUACCACUGACACAACACACAGUUGCCUUCUAAAUACUUAAUUAAUUGUUAGGAUGAUAGUUAAUAGUCGUCCCCAGAUUUUCAAUAACGGGACGAUCCUCCUGUCAGUGCUGCUACUGCAAAUCUUUUCUUCACCCUUGCAGUGCCCUUCCCUGUGCAACUGGGCAUUUUCAUUCCUCUAUUUAUUCCAAUGAACUACAGAGACCCUGAGCAUCUUUCUCUCUAUUAUUAUGCAGAUCUGCUUUUCUAGAUUCUUGGUAUUUUAUUUAUUGCACAAGCGUAACCCACUGGUAAUCAAUGACUACAAUUACAAGACCUUGAACACAAUGAUAGAAGAAAUAAUAUUUUAUGUUUGGCUUGAAAAUAAACAGCCCUCCAUUAGCACAUUUUGCUCACCAUGACUACUGGUGAUGAAGGAAGUCGUCCACCUUGACAUCCCUUGAACCAGGCUACAGUACCACAAGGACUAUAUACACAUUAAAAGACAACUAAUUGAUUAGGGAUCUUUUAAAAAAUUUGGGCCAGAUCCUGAAUCCCACAUGCAUCACACAUUCAAAAAAUGAUUUUCCAAAAGACUCUGAGAAUUUCUGCAAGAUGCGUAGCACAUGUCUGACCUUUUCCUGUCCCCAUGAGGUUCCAGGUCCCUCCUCACUCUCAGCCCCAUAGGCACUGGCCAUCCGAGUCCUGAUCCUGCCAGAGUCGGACUGCAGAUGUGAUGAACACUAGCUGCUGUCUUUGCCUGGUAGACAUGUCCAUCCAACACUGAAUCUUUCACAAAUUUUGCCUUCAGUAAAGAAGAGAGGAAGAAAAAUAGAAUAAGAAAUCAUGAAAACCAUUUUUAGAGGGAUUUUAAAUUUGUGCUGCGCUUUCUGAUUCAGAAUUUGAGCUGCACUCUGUGUUUCAGAUACAGUUGGACUUGUUAUUAAGACAAGCAAAGAUACAGUUGAAAAAUGCUGCUAAUAAUCUGGAUAAUUACUUUCAAAAUGAUCUACAUAAUUCCUGAAAUAGCUAAAAUAGAUACAUUCAACAUCCAUAACAAAGAAUAGUAUUCAAAGCAUUUAUAAACUAAAUACUGUUGCCACCACAGUCUCUUCAGACCUACCACCAAUUUGAUAUAUAUUUUCAGACAAGCCCAGGAAAAAUAUGAUUUGAAGGAUCCAUUAAAAGGGAAACUGCUAUUCAACUUUGGUUGUUGAUAGAGCCAUAAAAUAUAUAUUUAUAUGCAGUUUUAUAUAUACAAAAUGAAACUCACAUCCUACAGUAUCUUACUGGAGCUCAGAUGCAGCACAUGACAUAUUAUAUCUGUGGAAAUGGGAUCUAUAACCUAAUGUAUUCUUGCAUCAAAGAAUAAUGUCUCAUAAAUAAAUCAUUACAGCCUGUCACAUCUAUGGUUUCACACUGUAGUGUAUAAAAUAAUGUAUUUUGAGAUACGAGAGAAGGUGAUUAUCUAAUGUUUCAACAAAAAAAGAUUGUCCUGUGCUAAUGCAUGUGCUGUCUUAGAGGUGUUAUUGCCUUACCGCUGUUCAUUGAAGACUAAUCCAUCAUAUCAAAGGAGCGACAGCAUUUCACUUUUAAAAAACUGACACAAUUUGCACGCGGCUUUUCUCUUUCAGUAAUUAAGAAAUCAAAUAAGCCUGAGUGAAACUAUUUAAGAGGUUCUAGAUAUAAUUAGAACACCUCAUUCUCUCAUAACUAAUUCCUAAUUAAAGUAAUUUGUCUUUUUGCCCUUCUUUUCAAGGGUGAAGAGCAAGUGGUGAUGAAUGCUCAAAAUCAGGAAAAGUGAAAAUUGCAGUGUGUUGAUUUGCAGUGAUUGAGCGCGUUCCAGUUUUUAACAACCACCUUCGGCUGCAAAGCUAAAUGAAUCUCCAGCCUCUAUUUACAUUGAGAAUGUGUGAUCCAGAGCCUGACAAUUGAUAGAAUCUGGAGACAAAAGGGCUGAAGUCUGAGUCUGAGUUCAAAAGUUGCCUAUAUUAAGCUUUGCACAGGGGGAAAAAAUACAGUGAGACUGCACAGGAGAGAGAAGAAGUCUGAAAUUUGCUCCACUGGGUGAAAAUUGUCCUUUUAAAAUUUUAUUUGCAGCUGUGCCCAGAUGAUGACGGAUUUAUCAUAUGAACCAGGGAUUAGUAAACAAUGUGUACCCUAUAAAGAGCAAAACAAGUCCUUGCUCAUCACUGCACUUAAUUGCAGUGGUUAUAUCAAAGCCAUAUAAAAUUUAAUCAUCAACCACAAGUAAGAUUUUGCCUUGCAUGUGUGCUUGCUUCCCUGUUUUUCCACCUGUUUAAAUGAAAGAUUCUUGGAAUAUCACAAUAUGUAAAUAUUGUUUAUGAUGCAAAAAUAUGCUCUUUCAUCUCCUGGCUGCUUUGAUGUCGUGAUAUACAAAGCUUUUAGUGCCACCACCUACCUGACACACAAAGGUCUUAUCUGAUUCAUAAACAUGUGUGCCCAGUGCAAACAGGCUGUAUCCAAUAGAUGAUUUUUCUUUUCCUUGCAAUGUUUUUUUAACAGACAGAAAGAGAAAGAAAGUGUAAAUGACAGAACUGCUCAGGUGAAAAGAUUAUUUUAAGCAUCAGGUAAAGAUAAGCCCAUUAUGACAGAAGAAAAAGAUGUAGGUCAGUAUCGAUCCUAAGAGGUUAGUUAUAUAUAUAGUCAUCUCGUAAAAUGUGUUUUAAAAGCUGAAACUUUUUUUAAAGACUUUUGAUCCAAGUGGGAAAUAAGCAGCAAGAUCAGGUGCCCUCCUAAGACAUACAAAUAUGCCUAAUUAGCAGGAGAAGAAAGAGAAAAGCAGGAAGUGAGGUCAACACUGGAAACAGGGCAAACGGAGUCAGGGAGGGAAUAAGGUGUAGGUAAUAGUUAAAAUUUGCGGCUCAUUGGUAACAAUUUUAAACCUAAAGGAGCAGCUUAUUACAGGUUAAUCCAUGAUAUGUCUAAUUUACAGCUAUGUGUAUGUGAAUUUCUCAUAAAACAACGGGAUGGAGCUUCGGUCUGAUGGAGCCUGAAUUCUGCAAGGGGCAGCUGCUGUCUCCAGCUGAAAACACAAUACUGUUUGAGAGAAGUGUUACAACUGCUAGCAAAGGUCCUCUGGGCUUUUUAGGGCAAAUUAGGUCCCCAUACCCUCAGGGAUCCCACAGCUGUUCCCCCUGAGCACACAGAGCACCAAGAUGUGUGCUGAUGGCUGCAACAGCAGCAUAGCAGGGCUUGAUCUCAGCCACCUGAGAACAGAAUUUGGCCAUUUAAUAUCACACAAUAUCACAUAAACUGCAAGAACUUCAAGGUGUAAUGCUUCUUCUCUUUCUUCUUUCUCUCUUCUUUUUUUUUUUCCCUUUCCAUUCCUUUUUUUUUUUUUUUUUUUUUUUCUCUGUAUCCAGGAGCACCCUGGGAAAUCCUUUCGUGUUCUUUAUUUCCAUCUAAGCCCUGGCUUGCUUUGAACAGCAGAGGUAAUUGUGCGGGUGAACUUCAGAGAUUUGAAGGGAUCAAACUUGAAAGCCCCUGCCUGAAAGUGCAAGCUCCAACUGGAAUGUUGUCAGGUGCUGUGAGACGGGACGUGGCGGUGCUGCCGUCGGAGGAAUCCUUGCACAGGGACAGUCUGAACCUGCGCAGCGCUCCCUUUGCACAGCCCCUGCAGUUAGCAAGGCUCCCAUAACCCACAGCAGUGCUCAAAUGAGGCAGUACUGCCCUCUCUGAUCUAUAAAUGGGUGUGUGUGAUGAUGUGACUUGAUGAAGGUCAUCUAUGUCAGACAGUGGCAGAGGGUGAAGAAACCAUCCUGAUGUCUAUUUUCAGGUUUUCCCUGAGCAUCAGAGCAGAGAAGCCAAAGGGAUGCAGGUCUACAUCGUUUAUGAGAGCUACAUGUUCCUCUGGCUAGAAAAUCCUGGGGGAUUCAAUAAUAAUAAUAAAAAAAGAAGAAUCAGGGAAGAACUGAGAAGAAUAUAAUAGAAGUUUGCAGAUGGGGAAUUUCAGAAACCAGCAAAAUUCACGGAAGGAGAUUGUUACAAAACACAGCCUUUGCAAUGGAUUUAUACAUUCUUUUAAAUUUUACACGACAGCCAAAACACUCCAGAUACGCUUCCUCCCUCUGCCAGUUUUCCUCGAUCUUCUCUUUGAGCACAGGUGAAGUUCCUCAUGUUCCAAGACAGGGCAGGGUAUGUUCUGCUGCCAUUUCCCACACCCUUCUCAUGCCGUAUCUGACUAUCAGCACUGCUGCAAUCCAGGAAAACAGGAAACAUCAGAGCCAGUUGGAUUUUUCAACUCCUGAAUGUGUUUUGUUCAGAGUUCCUUUGGAAAAUAAUCAGGAAAACAAAAUAUGUUUUUACAAUUGUUUUUCCCCACUGGGUUUCAGACAACAGCAGCUAUAACAUGAAGUGAAAAAUAUAUUUAUUUCUUCUUCAAUCAAAAAUAUUUGGCUUGACCAAGAAAAUCUAUCUUAGUAAUCACAUACUGUGUCAAUGCCAUCCAUCUUCUUCUACAAUAGCUAUUGUCAUCGAUAGUGAAAGUUUGUUUCCUGUAGUAAGAAGCAUGGGAGAUGUCCUUUCUUGUUCCGUAUUUUGUUCUGCUUUGCCCUGUCAUAAGGCUAUUAACUACACAGUUACGUUUCAUUUUAAGAUUCUCAGUUAACACUCCCUGUCUUUACACUGCAAACUGUUUCAUCUUCUGAAUUGCGAUCUGCCAGUGGCUGAUGCUGGCAACACAGCACAACGUACAGACUUCUGAUCUCUUUUGGCCUGCAAGCUUUUCUUUCCUAACUGAUGGAUGAAAACCAAUUCCCUGUGCAAUUUGCUGAACUUUACUGUGGUUCUCAGUGCCAUUUCAAUUUAUGCCUAAUAGGUGGAGAAUCACAGAAUCACAGAAUGUCCCCGAAGAUCACUGAGCCCAUCUCCUGGCUCCACUUGGGGCUCCCUAAGAAUUAAACCAAAGACAUGUGAAUGCAAACUGAUUCAGAUGAAAUCCAUGACAGUCCUUCCACUUCCGGCCCUCUCAUAUGGGCAGACCCUUGCUUCAUUCUCACUUACUAUUGAAUAAAUAGUAUACGACUUUUGUGGAAUCAGCUAAGGAUUAGUGUUCCACACUCACACUUGUUGCCAUCCGUCUCUUUUCCAAAUUAUCCAUUUCAGCCACUGUGUGUGUUGAAGAGGUGUAAAACAUUGGUCUGAUAUGUGUGUGCUAUUACAGGAAGAAAUACAAGAGCAAACUCUCCUCUAACCCAUUUGAAUGCUUGUGAGACUGUUGGAGUUGUUGAGGUUCAAGGAAUGCCAUCUCCCAGGCUCCUCAUUGUCAUCUUCUUGGUAUCUGAACAUCUGGGGACAGCUGAGUCUGUGCAAGUUCAGUAGGAAAAGGAAAAUUAGUCAAAAGUACAUUUCUGCUCUGUAAGUGGUGUAUUUAAUUUCCAGCUAUGGAACAAAACACAAUUACCCAUGGUCCAUUUUUUCUGGGGUCAAGGCUGGCUAGAUUGUUGUAAUAAUCGUAAUAACACUCCCUCACUUGCUAUUUACCUUGGGAGCUAUUUGCUGUCCUUUGUCUGCAUCUGACUGUUGUGUAGGGACUGUGCCACAUCUUUGUGGUACAGCGUGUGUUUGGUUGCAGGGAUCUUUUGUGUCAGAAAAGGUAAACUUUGCACUCACAUAAAUUCUGUACUAGCCAGGACACAGUGAGACCUAUUCAGACUACUCACUUUCCUGAUAUAUGUAGCCACAUAAUCAUGGAAUAAAGACUCUGCAAAGUAUAUAGUGUUUUAAAGAUAAUUUGUACUACAGCAGCGCAUAGAGGAAGGGGUGCUUGGUAUGAAUUACAUAGAAAAAGUAUACUUCACCAUGACCUGGGGAUCAGUUGCAGAUUCAACUCCAGUUUGGUUUGGCCAGAUGUGCAAAAGCUAGGAGGAAGGUGUAGAAAGCACCAGUGUAACCAUGUGAAACCAGGCUUUGAAAAAUAAAGAACUGGCUCAAGAUCACAGGACAUGAUCUAUGGAAGAGAAAGAAGUUUUGCAUGUAUCUCCCGAAUUGCUCUGUAGUGUAGUAACUAGUAUUCCCUUUACUCCCUUGAUGCUAUAUGGGAUGUAAAAUAAUGCUCAGUUGCUGACCUCACAUACAGCAAACUGACCCAUUGUUUUCUAGGGAAAUUCAGCCAUGCAGAAAGGAAAUGCUCAGACAUCUAAAUAGCAAAACCAAAGCACUUAUGACCUUUUCUCCUGCCAAGAUCAAAGCAGCAACUUAUUUUCUCCUUUUUUCAAAUUUUAGUGACAUUAGCUAAUGUCACUGCUAAUGUCAACGUGCCAAGGUAUCUUGGUGCCAACUGAACAGCCAGGACUGGUAUUGCAAAGAUACUAAUGAUGUGCUGCUGCUGUCUCAAAGGGAUCCAUGCUGCCAGGCGCUUGUGAAGGACAAGGAAUAAUUUGUACUUUGCAUUGAGCCUUUCACUUGCUUGCAAAAGGUUGCCUGAGUGGAAUGGGACACACAUCAUAAGCUCAACACUUCUUUCAAAUUCCAAACAUACUUUCCUAACUCCACUUAUUACUAAAAUCAUGAUUUUAUCAUUCAAGAGCCCUAGCAAAUCAGCAGAGAAGAAUGUAAGAAAAUUCUACUACUGAGAUCCUAGCCUUGUUGUUCACAGGAAGUUAAAGCGAAACUCUUACAAGCAGAGCAGAGAUGCUUAACAGUCCUUGUGUGCUCACAAAGAAAAUAGAUUUUGUUUAUCAUUUAGAUCAAAAGAACAGGCAGAUUUUUAUUGAUUUUUGAGAUACAGCACUGAUCUUUGCCUCUGCGUCUAAUGGCUGUGAGCACUGGGUGCUACAGUAAUAGUGAGGAAAUAUAGCAAUUUUACACUGUUAAAUCUUUAUCUUGACUGUCUCUAAUUUAUCCAUCUUUAAUAAACCCCACUGCUCUGCAGCUGGUAACUAAAUCAGAGGCACAAGCACAACAUGAAGAGGACAAACUGAAGCCUUCUCCACAAGAUAUGAGGAAAGGACAUGACCUGCAAAUACACUGCCGAAAAGGCUGUGUAUAUCUUAAAUCUCAAUAAAUUGCUUAUUGUGGUGAUUUGGGAUAGCGUGGUGGCACAGCACUGAGUUUCAGCAAAGAAGGAGCUAUUCAGAUUAGCUGCUCUCCAGGGCUGUGGGCCCAGCUCCCUCAGGAUCCAAUGAAAAAAAGGAAUUUGUUCAUACAGUAUGAAUAGAGUUUCUGCAAGUGAAUCAAAAUCUAUUCAUAGUGAAUAGAAUCAUAGAAUCACUAAGGUUGGAAAAGACCACUAAAAUCUUCUAGUCCAACCAUCAACUCAUCCCCACCAUGCCCACUGAUCAUGUCCCUCAGUGUCACAUCUCCACAGUUCUGGAACACCUCCAGGGACAGUGACUACACCACCUUCCUGAGCAGCCUGUGCCACUGCAGCACCACUCCUGAGAAGAAAAUUUUCCUAAUAUCCAAUCUGAACAUCUCCUGGCACUACUUACAGCCAUUACCUCUUGACCUAUUGCUGUUACCUGGGAGAAUAGACCGACCUCCACCUCUUGUCUUGGUGGCAGUAUUUGAAUAGCUGGUCUUGCCAUUUGCUUCUUGACUUCUUUGGUUGAAAUGCCAGAAGAGACUUGUAAUCCCACUUUGUGCAGUCUAAAAUAUGACCAUAACUCUUUAUCUUCUGAAGCUACUGCAGCUACUGAAAAAGGGUAGUAAAUUACCAUCUGACAAUGGGAAAGGAAAAAUGCUGUUCUAGACUCUCUGCUUUCAAAAUGUUCUUCCUUACCUGAAAAGUUUACCUAGUUUAUUCAAUAUUCAUGCUUUUCAGACAUGAUGCCCUUGCUUCCUAUGUUCAAAUUGUAAGGAAGUAUUAUUGCCCAAUGCCAGAAACUUGCAACUAUUCUUUAAUACGCUAGGUGCACUGACAUAUUUGCACUCAGACUCUUACAUAAAUUUCAUUUUCCAUUGAAACAAAAGAUUGUACCUUUGCAGGUCAUGAGGUCACCAAAAAGCCAACUACUAUUUUGUUAAAUUAAAGAUCUGAAUUUGUUCUGCAACAGGAAGGUUUGAGGGAUUUCAUAGACAUGAAUCAACUUGGAUUUUUGAAAAUUGGGGUAUUUUUACUUCUCAUUUUACUGGCAUAACAGUGAAAGAUGUACUUCCAGAAGACAUAUUUGUAUAUCUAACUUCUCACUUUUCAUCACUGUCUAUAUGAUAACUGUGACUGCAGUUUUUUUGCACUGGUAAAAGAGAAUAUCAGUUGUGCAUCAGCUGUGCUCGUCAUAAGAGACUCUUAAGUCUUAGCCAAUGUGAAUACAGAGGAGUCUAUACUUUUGCACAGACAAAAGCUUCUGACCUUCUUUACUGGCAGAGUGAAAAUGAGUGUUAGCCUCCUUGCUCAGGCAGCAUUUCAUCCUAUGAGAUCAUUUUAGUUCCUUUUAAUAACUUGUAUUUGUUUUGUGAGGUAUUUAGGAAGCGUUGGCAGGUAGGGUGCAUGAGUGAAACUCUUUCUUAUGUUAGAGCUAUUUGGAAUAGAAGACAAUUGAGAUUAGCUGAUGACUGAGUAUUCUUAGGGAAUGAACUUCUCUCUUUGAAACUCUGAGCUCAUGUGUUACUACAUUUAACUCGCAGCUCUGUCAGGUUUACAACGGCACAGGGGCAUGCAGGGUGCACGAUGGCAGCAGCGAUGGGGGAUUCACUGGGUAACGCUGCAGGUGCACGUGUUGCUCAUGGCAGCAGCUCCAGCCAGAAAUGCUGCUUUUAUCGAGGUCAUAAAUCAUGUCAGCCCUCCUGAAUACAGUUUUUCAAAAGGGUGAAGCCAUGGCUUGUGUGCUGGAUAUUUAUCUUGCUCUUCCUAAUGCUUUCCCAAAAGCUCUCCUUGAAGGCGGUAAACAGUUCUUUUGGCCAUAAUUAGAACUAAUUGAUUGCUAGAGGGGUUUUAGACCUGUGUCAAACCAAAGGGACAGAGAUGGGAAGAGGAGGCUGAUUCCCAGGCUGUUUCCUUGGCCGUGUACGUGGGCACACAUCAUGGAAGGGAUGAGUUCUAUUGACCCAAGGCAGUGGUGCUCAGGUGUCUGGUGAGUGUGGUGGGAGCCUCUCUGUACUCUGCUGUGGCUGCAGAGACGAUGUGAGCUUUGAACACUCACUCCACGCUCUGCAAAGUGGCAAUGUGGCCCCUGCCAUCCCCGAGGCUGGGCUGAAAGCUCUGAAGUUUGCAGAGAAACAUGCUGCGUCAGGCACAACCAGGCUGGCCCCACAUAAAGUCAAUACUUGUGUGAAAACAAAUAAAAUCUUAGAGUACGAGGCAGAGGCUAAAGAAUGCCUUCACCUCUUUCCUUCAAGCAACUAUUUUGUUAACUUGAAAGACGGCAGGGGUGAUCUUACUCCAUUCUUUCUCUACAGGUCAAAUACUUGUCAUAGGAGACACCCUAGUUAAUAUUAAACUAAAAAUUAAUAGAUUAGAUAACUAUUAUAUGCUUUUAGUGCCAAUUAAUUUAAUAGCUGGUUUUUUUUGUUUUGUUUUGUUUUCUCUUUUUCUAGCAAGGUAGGUGAAUAUAGCAGCACAGUUUACUGUGUCUGUAUGAGCUCUCAGAUGGGUCUUUUGUGCUACAAUUACCACCAAUUGAUUGGACUGACACAUGUAAUCCCCUUUGGAUCACCCAACGAUAUGAUGUCAGUAAGAAGUCCUUCAAACAGACUAUUAAAAAGCACAUUAAACAUGUCCUUAUUGUAAGCUUUAUGCUAGCUUAUGCUAAAAUAACAGUGAUACAGUGGUAUUUGUUUGAAAAUGAAAGGAUUAUAUGGUCUUUGUAAAAUGAGGAAUUUAGUAUUGGGAGGGGCAGUGGGAUGGUGAUUUAUUUUUUGUUUAUGUUCUUCCGAAUCCUUUGAUAUGUCAACUUCUGUCACUAACCAUUAGGCCACUUGUAAUUUCUUGUAUCAACGAAGAUGAAAUACAUACUGCCUCCAAUAAUUUAUGUCAAAUAUUGAAGGGCAUGGAUGGUAGUGCUUAUUGUGAGAUUAUAAUGAGAAUUGAACUGGGGGCUUCAGAAAUCCAUAGGUAAUUUAUUGUUAAAGAGCACGCAUGAAUCACUCCGGCCUUUAAUUGUCAUGUGGAUGCAUUUUGCUUUCAGCUUGCGCUGGAAACAAAUUGCUGAAAUGGAAUGAUAACUCAGAAGAAAGAUUUCACCAUGACCCUUUGUACUUAUUAAUAUAGUGCCAAGAGUGUAAUGAGUGCCAUGCCUUCUCUUGGGUCAGAUUCUGGUGCGUAGUGAAAGGAAUGCCUUGAAAUUUGUAUUGCUUUUCAUGAAGAAGAAAAACAUAAACAGCAGCAUAUACACCUCGCAAGCAAGGGAUGAGAGUCAAAAAGAUUUGUGGUAUUUAUAAUACUGCACAAUAAAGGUGACCAGGGGAUUUUAUAGGAUGAUUUAACACUGAACUGUGCAAAGAAAUUAAGCCGUUCUGGAGAUUUCUUUGUAACGCACCAACAUCCUCAUCAUCCCUCUUUGCUCUGCUCUCUUUUUAUCUUACAACGUCAAGGUAACACUCCAAAGUGGUUAACCAACUGCUGUGCAUAUCUUACAUAGAUGUGCUGCUUUAGAUCAUGCUGCUGCUCCCAGAGAGAGAAAUUUCAUUGUUAACCCGAAUCUAGGUGUUUUUGUCAAAAAAAAUCAAAGCUACCAGAAAAUGGAUAUAAAUUAUUCGCAGGGUCUGGUUUUCUGACUGCUUUAAUAUCAUGUAAUCAAAGGACAGAUUACUCAAAAUUACUCCUCUUGAGUGCUUCAGUGUAGUCAUCACAGCACUUCUCUGCGACUACUUCACAGUUUCUCAUAAUGUAAGAAUUAGGGGCUACGCAGUGAAACUAGGAAACAGCAAGCUUAAAAUAUACAAAAAAAAAAAAAAGAAAGAAAAAAAAGGGGAUUUGAAAGCAUUUGAAAGCAGGAUGUGUGAUCAAAAUGAGGUACAACUUGACACAGAAAUUUAUGGAAGCCAAAAGUAUAAAGUGUAGAAGAAUUUAACAAAGUCACGAAGGAUAGAUUCUCUGGUGACUUUUAAGCUAAAUGGUCUUGAUGUGGUCACUGUUUUUAGGAGUCCAUUACCCAGAAUGACUAUGAAGAAUGAAUUACAUUUGGGAAGGAGAACUCUGAAUUUGAUCUAUCCAUUUGCUCUUCCCCUGCUGACCACUACCAGAGACAGGACUCUGGCGUAAACUGCCUUUAUGCUUUGUGGCUGCUCUUACAUCCAUAGAAAACUCUUGUAGCCAUUAUGAAUAAUGAAGUGUGUCUUUCACAGAAUCACAGAAUCGUACAGGUUGGAAGGGAGCUCUGGAGAUCAUCUAGUCCACCCUGACAACUCACCCACACCAUGCCCCCUAACCAUGCCCCUCAGUGCCACAUCUCCACAGUUCUUGAACACCUCCAGGGACGGUGACUCCACGACCUCCUUGGGCAGCCUGUGUAACUGCAGCACUGCUCUUUCUCAGAAGAAGUUUUUCCUAAUAUCCAACCUGAACCUCCACUGGCGCAACUUUACCUCUCAUGCUAUCACUAUGCUGUUACUCAGGAUAGUAAAGAGGCAGUACACGGAAGAUCUUUGAUGUUUCAUUCAAAUUAUUUAUGGAGGAGGAACUAUUUUCUAACAGAUUUUUUUUUUUUUACAUUAGUAUGCUGUAAAUUGCUUUGUCUAUGAAGAUAUCAGAGCACUUACCAAUCCAGAGUAGCUUUUCAUAGAAUACGUUCGCUACAAAUAGCUAUAGCACAGCCUAAACUGGACUGUUAGUUAAUCCCAGAUAAAAUCCAUCUCAGGUUCUCCUACAAAUAGCACAUGUUCAAGACCAAGCCCUGACACAUCAGUGAGUAAACCUCAAUAAGCUGCUUCAGGAUAGUGCCACUACAACAGCUUCAUAACACUUGCAAGUGCCAGUAAAGGAUGCCGAAGUGUUGGUUUGCCAGGACUGGAACAGAGCAGCGACCACAGGUGCUUAUUUUCCCUUUUUGUAGUUCAUCGGUGUCAUGCAACUGUUGGCUCAGUCAGCAGAUGUGUCAGCUCUUGGAAUAACAGCUACUUAUGUAGGUUAGGUACAGUGCCAAAAGGUAAGUGUUAUAAAGAGUAAAACUGUAAAGAAUUAUGAACAUAAAGCCUGUGAUAGUAAAGGUGACUCCUUAGCAUUAUGCGCCACAGCAACAUAUUUUACCAAGGGCAGGAAAAGUCAGCUUUAUUUUCACCCCGUCACAAGCCGUAAGUGCUGAGCUAUGUGCAAUUUCCUGUUGGAUUUAAAUAGACACAUUUCUGAGCCCUAAUUUUUACUCUUUUCAUCUCUAGUAAACAAAUUGCCAAUUAAUAAUUAUGAAUUGAUCUCACAUGGCACAAACCUGUGCAAAAUAAUGCAGUAUCCCACUACCAUGCUUUUGGUAGCACUGUGAGCACAUCUGUAUAGAAGUUAUAGUUCAGAAAGGAGGAAAGCCCAGCACAGGACCCAGAACAUGGUCAAGGACCAAGAGCACCUGACUCACAGGGAGAGGCUAAAGAAACGGUUUGUUUGGUCUGGCAAAGAGGAUAAGGGGUAAUGUAAUAGCACCUACUUGACAGGGAGUUACAAAAAAAUGACAUAGCCAAACCUUUCUCAAUGGUCCUAGACAAUGUAACAAGGGGCGAUGGCCACAGAGUGCAGCUUGGCAUGCUCAGGUUGGACAUUGGGAAAAAAUGCACUUGAAGAGUGUUGCAGCACUGGAACAGGUGCCCAAGAGGUUGUGGAAACUGUCCUUGGAGAACUUUAAGACUCAGUUAGAAGUUAAGCACAUCUGCAGCUGGCAAAUGUCCCAUGUCAUGUGGGAGUUGCAUGAGAGGCCUCCAGAUCUUCCUCCCAACCACCAUUUCUAUCUACUCUUUCAACUCUCUGCUUUAAUAAUUUAUACCUUAAAAGAGUGAUUUGCACCUCUGCUUUUUGCACACUCUUAAGUUGGCCUCUCAACCCUGGAGAUUUAGGGUAAGAAGUCAGUACUAUUUCUUCCUUUCAUUGUGCCUUGGAUGAAUCAAUGAAGUGGUCAUACUCAGAGGAUGUCUGCCAGGAGUGAGCAGUGUUGUGAGAAUGUGCUUGUGCUUGUGUAUAAAUCCAGCUGUCAUGCCACUAUCACUAACAGAAUGCUUCUGAUAUGCUCAGGAGCAGAACUUUAGGUGUCUGCUGCUGUCAGUCACUGGCGUGGUUAGACAGCAGUACAGUGUUCAUGGAGUUCAGAUUUUGGAUUUGGACAACUGAUGAGCUUGCUCAGCUCUGUGCUUUAGCGAGUAAUUUGGUUUAAAUUCUUAGGAAUUAAUGUUUAUGAAACCAGAUGUAACUGAGUCCCAGUGCCUUUGCUAUAUAAAUGGUCUGGGAAUUUUUUCUUUGAAGAAGAUGUAGCCUGAUCCUCUGAUCUGAAUUCCUCCACAAAGGUAGUUCGAAGCCAUCUGAAAGAUGAGCCUCUAUAUAUCCUCUCUGGAGCUUGAUGCAUUUUGGAGGCACAACUGGAGCAGAGCUUCCAGGUUCAUCUCUGAGAGGAAUCCAGCAAGCAUAUAACAAAACUUGAUGUAGGGAACUGCUUUAGCAGGGAUUGGACUAGAUGAUCUUAGAGGUCUUUUCCAGCCUUAAUGAUUCUAUGAUUCUAUGAUUUUAUCCUACCUAAACUGUCUGUAGCAAAGAUGUAACUCACCUUCCUGGGAGCACGAGAGGAAAUCCCUGCUCCUGUGUUAAUGCAGUGUAACUGAAAACAAAAUUUUCAAGAGAACAAAUUGCUGGCUGAAAUGCCCAGUAAGGGUUACCCAUCAUCACUCUUACUUCAAAAAAUAUGAGGUUCUGAUAAAGAAGGUGAGAAAGCAAUACAUUUUACAAGACAAUGCCUAAGCUGCAGUUAGCACAGAUGGAGAUAAAAUUCUCUCACUUGAAGAAGACUUUUAGAGAAGUUAUGGAUACCCCAUCCCUGGAGGUGGUCAAGGCCAGGUUGGUUGCAGCCCUGAGCAGCCUGGUCUGCUGGAUGACAACCCUGUCCAUGAUGGAGGGAUUGGAGCUUGAUGAUCUU